Mytilus californianus (California mussel) is the source of this 2637-nucleotide long non-coding RNA. RefSeq lists it as uncharacterized. The record is from RefSeq and is a predicted model, not a curated record. The transcript has 2 exons. NCBI's taxonomy places the organism in Eukaryota, Metazoa, Mollusca, Bivalvia, Mytilida, Mytilidae.
UCCUAACUAAUUUAAUCAAUUGUUGUUUGGUGAAAUCUAAAAAUCUUUGCAAUCAAGAACCAAUUUAGGAUUUUUAAAACAAACUGACAAAUGCCAAGGCAAAGAACGAAAAACGACAAAAAGACAAAAGUAAAAUAACACAAACUACGAACUCCAAGGAAAAUUCAAAACGGAAAGUCCCUUAUCAAAUGGCAAAAUUAAAAGCUCAAACAUAUCAAAAGAAUGUAAAACAACUGUCAUAUUCCUGACUUGGUACAUGCAUUUUCAUAUGUAGAAUACAAACAACAGUUAACAAAACUGAAGACUGAGCAAUACGAACCCCACCAGAAUCGCUUUCGAGACGCGACGGCCAUACUUCCAUGACGGCCAUAGGAUGUGUCGGCCAUACCGUCACAUCGUCCAUGGGACAUAUCGGCCACACAUUGUGAGACGUAUCGUCCACACUUUAAAAUUUUUUUGAGGUUAUAACAUAAAAUAUAAUAAUAAAAUAAGUAUUUAUUCAUAAUAAUAACAUUAAUAUGAUUUUGUAGUAUUUUUUUUCUGUUCAAGAGAUCUUAUUUAUUCUUGUAAGAGUUAUCUUUGCUUGAUCAUCAUCACUCGUGUUUACAACUUGUUGGGGCCAUAUUAUUUUAGAGUCAUUCCAUUUGCUGAACAUCUUUCCAAGACGGAGACUACUGUAGAAUUUUCCAAUAACAUAACAAAUUACCCGUAAUAUCUGACAGGAAUGUGCACCCUAAUAACAUGAUAAAAGAUGGCCAGUUUCAUUUUUAUCAUACUGAAUGUUCUUUUUGCUUAAGUUUGUUCAUUGUGUUGAAUACUAUUUGUUGACAAUUUAAAUGUCCCCAUUUUUGUGCAUUUGUUGAUGGAGAAUUGUAUUAUGGACAAUCAUACCAAUAUACUCUAGUACAAGAAACAAAAAGAUAAUAUUUUUGUUUAAUAUAUUUUAUUUAUUCAUUCAGUCAUACAGAUAAACAAAUAUACAACAAACAUAUAAAGCAUACAUCAUACAUCAUACAUACACAAAACACUCAUAUAUAUUAUUCUUUUCGUUCAGGCAUGUAGAAAAUCAAACACAUCGAAAUGUAAGAACAUACAUAUAUUAUAAUAACCAUCUACAAGUGUCAAAAUAAUUCAUAUAUAACAUCUAUAAAAAAAAAAAAAAAACAUGGACGAUACGUCUUUACAAAGUAUGGCCGUUUUUGUCCUAUGGCCGUUUCAUCUUUUCGGGGUAUGGCCGUUUCAUCCUAUGGACGUCAUGGCAGUAUGGCCGUCACGUCCUGCACGUAGGUGAUCUCAGGUGCUCUGGAAGGGUAAGCAGCUUCUCCACAUGUCUCGCCUGUCAUGUCAUGUUGCUUAUAUAAGUACAGACCAGAUGAUUAGUUCCAAUCAGUUGCUCACAACUCACAUUCUAGAAAAAGGACAGGAUUGGUUGCGACAAUUUGAACCCAUUGGUCAUUAUCUGUGAAACAGAUAUUCUAUAAUGGUCACUUGCAUUGGAACCCUUGGAUUAAAAGCUUCCUUAGAGCUGUUCCCUUCCAUCAAGGAGAUCAUGAUAGGAAAUGCAAGCUGUGGAAUAACGUAUCAUCUAGGGGUAUCCAUGCAUGACACAAAAUCAGUACAUGCACAACAAGAAACAAAAACAAAUAUGCCUGGCAGUCAUUGGGACAAAUGUCAUAAAUGUUUAUAAAAUCAAAAUGUACAAAAAAGUUACGUCUUACUAUAUAAUCUUUUUUCAAAGUACAUUUGUUUUUUGCAAUAAAAUAUAGGAUAUAUUUACAGAACACUGCAAGUGAAAUGAUUUGUUUGUUUAUUUUCUUUUACGCAACCACAAGGAGCUUGAGUUAUGUAUUAUCAGAGUUUGCAGAGUUCAGACCAACAAAAUUUCAUCCCCCACUUUAACAUUUUGUGCCGGUCCAAAUGUCCUGCUAGUCUAUUUUUUACUGUCAUAUAAUUACUUUGAUAUAUGUUGUUGCAACAUUAAGUAUUUGGCCAAAUUUCAAGACACUGGUUUACAGUUUCAGCCUUUUAUAUUGUCUCUGGAAACCAUUUUUUUUUUUAUCUUCUAUUUGUUUUCAAUAGUCAGGAUUAUACAUACCCCCAUACACUACCACCUGACAAGGGUAUCAAGGGGUUAGAUAUAGAAAAUAAUGCAGUAUACAAUAUGUAUCACUGACUAAUUGAUUUUUACAAUAAGAGUAUUUAAGGUUACAUAUAAAUUUUAUUUGAUUAAUCUCUCUCUCUCUAUCUGACUUUCUCUCAUACACCACUUAUACUUUUCACUCAUCUAUUUUGCUACAAUAUGUAUCAUGACUUACUUUUUAAAACAAUUAUUUUAAAGACAAACAUGACUUAGCUCAUGGUAUAUAACUAUUUUCUUUUAACUUAACUAAAAAAUAGAUAGUAUGAAACAAUACUUAGUUUAAUAUUACAUUUAAAGGAGACCAAAAUUUUUCACAAACUUGGAAUUUUUCUUUUUCUUUGCAAUAUGAUAUUCAAAGAAUUGGUAUUUCUUUUUUUGGAACAUGUUGAAGUAAUGGUGUGUGGCCCAAAAAGGUUUGCAGGGGGCUUUCAUGGAACUUCAGGAAAGGGACCUCAUUUGUUUGACAGAAAUGAAGCAGCAAAAAAAUAAAAAGCAAA